UACCUGAUUAAUCCCUCAGUAGCACAUGCCUAUCUCUAAAGUCGAUCCACAGGCAUCGUAGCACUUGUGGCCUGGUGUGGUCAUGUGCCAUAUGGCUUUGAGUGCUUAUUCUGCUCAUACCUGGAUAAUUCUGAUAAUCGUGGAACUAAUCGAUGCCCAUAGGCACCAGCAUCUCUGGUGAUUCUAGAUGACCCAGAUUGGUCGCCUGUCUCUUGGACCUGUCAACUACUUUAGGUAGAAGUCCCAGUGCCUUUAGUGGCGACCAUCACGACCAGGAAUCCAGACUUGGUGCCAUAAAUGUAGCUUGAUGGUCAAAUACCCCAACCAAGAAAGACCACAGAUGCACAGAUGACCUGCUUGCGACCAGGGAGAGCAGUGAUGAAAAACAACACUGGUCUCUUUUGAGGUCCUGUAGUUGGAAUGAGUCCAUUUUAAAUCCUUUGAGGAGGAUCCGUCGCAGGGCAAGUCUGGUGCUGGCAGCUGCAGUAAUCCCAGCUUCAGUGCAGAUACCAAAUUCGGUGUACUUAAAAUGUUCGUGUGAUAUUGGAUCUCCUGCUUCCCUGUGGGUCUACCGCAGGGUCCUUGCAGGUCCCCACCCCCUGCCUCUAGUGAGCUCUUGGCUCUUAGCCUAGUUUCCCUAGGCUGAAGUGUAUGUUUGGAGAAAACUAGAGUACUCAAAGCAGACUUGAGCUGCCAGGAUACGGCCCCGGGAAUCAUGGAAUUCUAGUGUGGUUCUAUUUUGUUUGCGUCAGAAGUUUGCAGAGGCUGAUUGGGCAGAAUUGUUGGGACAUUCAUAUUGUCGCAAGAGCCCAAAGUCUUAGAAUGGUGCAAGACGGACCAGAGUGAAAACUUUCGCCAAAGAUGUUUUCGUUAAUCAAGGUUGAAGGUGAAAGUGGGAGGUUUGAAGAGGCUUUGGAUCCGAGUACCCAGUGCAGUUCUGGCUGUAAACAGAUGCACAUCGCCAGCAUUGUUCUCAUGACCCCACAGGCUGCUUCCGGGAAGCCAAAGUCCUUUGAGUGGUGGUAGCUGGAGGGUGUGGUUCCGAAGCUGAGGCUGAAAGGCACAACCCUGGAGUGUGUGCUUGAUUUGACUCAACCUGGACAACCCCUCCGGGCUCCUGUGCAGACAGAAUCGGCACGGCAAAAGCUCUUCCACGGGUGGUGGUAUAUGCCCUUUCUGUGUUGGCAGUGAUUUGUCUGGCUUAUUGAUAACCAGGGGUAUUAGCGUGCUGAACAGUUAGCCAGCCUGAGUCCUCAGUAUCCCUCGUAUUCGGUAAGUGGCAUUCAGCCACUCGAGAUUGAGCAACACGGUGCUUUUAAAUGUUGGGGACCAUCUACCACACUGCUUAGCUCAUGUGCAGCCUAGUCCCACGGGUGCUGGGGACUGGUUAAAUGCAUUAAUAACGGGCUUGGAUUGCAGUUACUCCUCAUUCACGAGAAAUUCCCUGUGAGAAAGUAGGACGAAAGUUUGCCUAAGUCCCUGCCCCUAGUACACACUGCCUGUCGCCUUUCAGAUCGACCACUUGGGGUGGGCACUUGGCCCUGAAGAUCUCAGAGAAGAUGGUCUAAAUAAAAGUUGUGGCCGAAUUUCCAUAGGUGGUCUUGCAGAGGGAGCGUUA
Felis catus (domestic cat) is the source of this 1618-nucleotide ribosomal RNA. It matches the Rfam family "Eukaryotic small subunit ribosomal RNA". The record is from Rfam. NCBI's taxonomy places the organism in Eukaryota, Metazoa, Chordata, Mammalia, Carnivora, Felidae.